AUACGUAGGUCCCGAACGUUGCGCGAAAUUACUGGGCGUAAAGGGUCCGUAGGCGGUCUGGUAAGUGGAAGGUGAAAGCCUGGGGCUCAACUCCAGAAUUGCCUUCCAAACUGCCGGACUUGAGGCAGGGAGAGGUCGGCGGAAUUCCCGGUGUAGUGGUGAAAUGCGUAGAUAUCGGGAGGAACACCAGUGGCGAAGGCGGCCGACUGGAACUGUCCUGACGCUGAGGCGCGAAAGCGUGGGGAGCAAACAGGAUUAGAUACCCUAGUAGUCC
This 274-nucleotide ribosomal RNA is filed under the name uncultured bacterium. RNAcentral's name for it is "partial 16S ribosomal RNA". It matches the Rfam family "Bacterial small subunit ribosomal RNA", at positions 523 to 796 of the family's 1533-position model. The record is from RNAcentral.